Molecule: ribosomal RNA, 242 nt
Filed under: uncultured Planctomycetales bacterium
Lineage: Bacteria; Pseudomonadati; Planctomycetota; Planctomycetia; Planctomycetales
Description: partial 16S ribosomal RNA
Rfam family: Bacterial small subunit ribosomal RNA
Source: RNAcentral
GGAGUUAGGAAAUGUAAGUGCGCUAAUAUCGUGCUUAUUUGACAAAGGCUCCAAAGGAAGCCACGGCUAACUCUGUGCCAGCAGCCGCGGUAAUACAGAGGUGGCGAGCGUUGUUCGGAAUCAUUGGGCGUAAAGAGCACGUAGGUGGGUUUGCAAGUCAGAUGUGAAAGCCUUCUGUUCAACGGAAGAAUUGCAUCUGAAACUGCUGAUCUUGAGUAUAGGAGGGGAGAGUGGAACUUCUG